This 3032-nucleotide long non-coding RNA is filed under the name Homo sapiens (human). RNAcentral describes it as "HSALNT0305428". Lineage: Eukaryota; Metazoa; Chordata; Mammalia; Primates; Hominidae. The record is from RNAcentral.
AGCAAGCCACCCGCCUUGGCCUCCCAAAGUGCUGGGAUUACAGGCAUGAGCCACGCGCCUGGCUGGUUCUCUACUUUUAAGGACUCGUGUGAUUAGAUUGGACCCACCUGAACAACCCCGAGUAGUCCCCCCAUCUCAAAGUCUUUAACUGAGUCACAUCUGGAAAGGCCCUUUUGUUUGCCAUGUAAGGUCACCUAUUCACUAGUUCUGGGCAUUAGAAAGUGGACAUCUUUAGGAGGCCGCUAGCUUGCCACCCACAGGCAGAUUAGGCCAUGUGAUUUGCUGACCCUCUGCAGAUGUUACACUGAGGCAGUAAACCUUUUCCAGGUGACUCAUACCACCUGUGCACAUCAGGAGACAGUCAUGUGAACUACAGCUGUUGCCAGUGCCAGCUGGGCAUUGUGCAAAGCAGGACUUGAAUGUGUCCAUCACAUGCACUCUGUGGUCGAGCCAUCAGAUGCCCUGAGUAAUUAAUGUUCACAUGGCUUUGUGAAAUACAACUAUGUAGGCUAGCUCGUCAAGUGUUUUUACAAGAGCUGACGCCAGUGGAACCCACUCAGCUUGCUUUUCCUGUUCCAGCUUUUUCACGCACAGUCAGGACCCCCCUGGAACUUCAUCUACUGCCAGCUCCCCCAUUCCCCUCCCACGAGUGUGGGUGGCCCUCUUAGCCUCUGACCGCAUACUGGAACCUGCGGAGGCAGUGUUACCAGACCUGAGGUCUUCCUCUGCAUUUCAUUUGCUGUUCCCUGGCCUGCAAUGCCCCUUCCUUCCCACCUCCCCCGAGGGCCUAGCAGCCCCUCCUACACAGCCCUCUAGCCCCUCUGUGCUCAAAGUGCAUCUGAGGACAUCACCUGAGAGCUGUAGGAGAUGCAGGAUCUCAGGCCCCACCCCAAACCUACUGAAGCCAAAUCUGCUGUUUAACGUGAUCCCUGGAGAUUCAUAAGCAUGUUGUCUGUGCAGCACGGAGUGAGGGGCGGCUCCUCUUCGCUGCACCCCUUCCUGAUUACCCCUAGGCCCAGCCAAAUAAACUCUUCUUCCUGCUCCCUUGUGCCCCAUUUGGACUUCACUCGUAACAAGGGAGUAUAACUGGAUGGUAAAAGGGACUUUUCCUGUUAUCUAGACAUUUCAGCAGAGGCCUCAAAGGCAGAACAAAAUAGUGCAAGGAGCCGCACAUCCGCACAGUGCUGAGACCCUGCCCAGGACAAGCUUGAUCCUGGCACCCAAGUGACAACCUGCAUUGAAAAGGCGGAACUUGGCUCUCCUGCCCUGCCAGCUGUAAGAGCUUGAAAGCAAAGCUAUGGGGGGAAUGUCUUUCAUUUCCCCCUGGAAGCUGGGAGGACGUUCAGCUUAGCAUUGCCAACUGUGUAAUGUGGACUUGCCUCUAAAAGAAGCCUUUUUCCUUGGAUGUCUUUCAGGCCGCAGUAUUCCCUUUGGCACCCCCACCCACCUGGAACAAAGCCUGAUGUAAAGUCUGGGUGCGACUCAGACCGGCCUGGGAAAGAAUUUAUUUAAUAAAUGGUGGAAAGUGGCUUCCUUGACGUGUCUUCGAUGGCUUUUUUAUAAAGCAUUUGGUUUGUCUACUCGUCUGUUUUUGCGCCAUCUCUUUCCACAAAGAUGGCUUAUAGCAGGGAUACUUACAACAAAAUGAUGCUGGGAAAACAAAAACAAAGAAGUAGAGAAUUAGGCCUGAGAAAACUAGGAGUAGAGAGUCACGAUUAGAUACAGAGGAGCAUAGAUGUGUAGUCUAGGAAGGCCAACUAAUUGUUAUAGCUGAAAUUCAAAUUCAGUUAGCUAAAAUGUUCCUAGUGUCAAAGGAAGAAUGGGCCACACAGUUGCAUAAUCCUUAGUAUUAGGGAGAAGGAAAAGGUUCCAGUUAUUCAGAGGGAUGUUCUCUUGCCUUAUUCCUUUAAUAAGUAUCUGUUAAAGGCCCACCAUGUGCCAAGCACCAUGCCCGGCAAGCACUGCACUCACCCCCCAGGAACUCAGUGUCUAAAGGAGACUGGGUGAAAGAACUAUAUUUGUGUGCCUAUGAUGUGUCAAAUACUAUGCAUUUAGUUAUGCAGUUACUGUAUGUUAGACACUAUGCAUUUAAUUAUUUACCUGCUGUAUAUCAGACACCAUGCAUUUUCAUUUAACCCUCAUAAGCACUUACAUCAAGUAGACACUGUUACCUCUUUUUUACAGAUGAGAAAACAGAGUCUCUUCCCGCAGCUGGGGCUCAGGCAGCACCUGGGGGCUCAAAACACACUGGAUGCGGACCUAGUCACGUGGUAAGGACAGCCACAUGAAGUAAGAGUGAGAUGGCGAUUUCCUCUGAAAUAUGAGCCUCAUUCCUUUGAAAGUAGCAAAUAAUUAUCCAGAGGCGUUGGGAAAAUAGUAAGAAAAUCUUACCUCUAUUGAGAAAGAGUGAAUGCCAAAGGCCUCCCUUCACCUGCUCCAUUGCCUGAAACCAAGCACUCGCCCACCUCAGCUGGAGACAUUAGAUUGAAAACAAACCCCCAGUCCCCAUUUAAAGAGGUCAGCCCUGGGCAGUGAGGAUGGGAUGUUCACGGAGGUGGGGUGUGUGGUGCUCCUUAGUGGGGGAAAUGACUUAAAAUAUACAUGAGCGUAAUGGUGAUUUCAGCCUGACACAGCUUGGUAAGGAACAGUGGUUCUGCAAGAAUCCUUUGUAUAUGGUUUGCCAGAAGGAACAUAAACUGAGAUUCUAAACUCUAGAAACACAGGCAUUUUAGGAACUGUCCGCUUUAUUCCUUUUGCUCUGAUUUAAGAUAAAAAUUCUGCUUCUGAUUCCUGCCUGCAAUUUCAGCUUACUCAGACCCCUAUUUGUGCCCCCACUCCCUUGGUGCUGAAGACCCCCUAGGGAGAGCAGAACGAACCAGCUCGGAGAAGGGACCGGGAAGCAGGAGCCGGGAAGAGGUAUCAGCUAAUACGUAUCAGGCACAUCCUCCUUUUAAAGACUCAAGUUGGCCAGGUGCGGUGGCUCAUGCCUAUAAUCCCAGCACUUUGGGAGGCCGAGACAGGUGGAUCACCUU